GACGAACGCUGGCGGCGUGCUUAACACAUGCAAGUCGAACGGAAAGGCCCUGCUUUUGUGGGGUGCUCGAGUGGCGAACGGGUGAGUAACACGUGAGUAACCUGCCCUUGACUUUGGGAUAACUUCAGGAAACUGGGGCUAAUACCGGAUAGGAGCUCCUGCUGCAUGGUGGGGGUUGGAAAGUUUCGGCGGUUGGGGAUGGACUCACGGCUUAUCAGCUUGUUGGUGGGGUAGUGGCUUACCAAGGCUUUGACGGGUAGCCGGCCUGAGAGGGUGACCGGCCACAUUGGGACUGAGAUACGGCCCAGACUCCUACGGGAGGCAGCAGUGGGGAAUAUUGCACAAUGGGCGGAAGCCUGAUGCAGCAACGCCGCGUGCGGGAUGACGGCCUUCGGGUUGUAAACCGCUUUCGCCUGUGACGAAGCGUGAGUGACGGUAAUGGGAAAAGAAGCACCGGCUAACUACGUG
This 468-nucleotide ribosomal RNA is filed under the name uncultured bacterium. RNAcentral's name for it is "partial 16S ribosomal RNA". It matches the Rfam family "Bacterial small subunit ribosomal RNA", at positions 28 to 507 of the family's 1533-position model. The record is from RNAcentral.